This 253-nucleotide ribosomal RNA is filed under the name uncultured bacterium. Its description in RNAcentral is "partial 16S ribosomal RNA". It matches the Rfam family "Bacterial small subunit ribosomal RNA", at positions 524 to 776 of the family's 1533-position model. The record is from RNAcentral.
GACGAACCGUGCGAACGUUAUUCGGAAUCACUGGGCUUAAAGGGCGCGUAGGCGGGUCGGUAAGUCAGGGGUGAAAUCCCACGGCCCAACCGUGGAAGUGCCUCUGAUACUGCCGGCCUCGAGGGGGAUAGGGGCGUGCGGAACUCAGGGUGGAGCGGUGAAAUGCGUAGAUAUCAUUUGGAACGCCAAUGGUGAAAACAGCUCGCUGGGAAUGAUCUGACGCUGAGACGCGAAAGCCAGGGGAGCGAACGGG